CCCGCCGGCGACCGGCGCACGGGUGAGUAACACGUAUGCAACCUGGCCGCCACAGGGGGAUAACCCGCGGAAACGCGGCCUAAUACCCCAUGACGCCACCGGAGGGCAUCCUCCGGUGGCCAAAGGAGCGAUCCGGUGGCGGAUGGGCAUGCGGCGCAUUAGCUAGACGGCGGGGUGACGGCCCACCGUGGCGACGAUGCGUAGGGGUUCUGAGAGGAAGGCCCCCCACACUGGGACUGAGACACGGCCCAGACUCCUACGGAAGGCAGCAG
RNAcentral lists this ribosomal RNA (272 nucleotides) under uncultured bacterium. RNAcentral's name for it is "partial 16S ribosomal RNA". It matches the Rfam family "Bacterial small subunit ribosomal RNA", at positions 84 to 354 of the family's 1533-position model. The record is from RNAcentral.